Molecule: long non-coding RNA, 889 nt
Organism: Gambusia affinis (western mosquitofish)
Lineage: Eukaryota; Metazoa; Chordata; Actinopteri; Cyprinodontiformes; Poeciliidae
Exons: 6
Source: RefSeq, a predicted model, not a curated record
ACUUUGUGUUAGUUAGUAUCCCCACCCAGAUGGGUGGAGAUACUGGGUUCACUAUCUCCACCCAGGUGGCAUGCACCUUUAGAAGAAUCAAGUGCACCCAUACCUUUCACUGCUCAAGCUCAGCAGCCACAUUUACAAGCUAACCUGGUUCACCUGUGCUCACACCAUGACCUCUCCUCAGACAGAGAACCUCAACUGAAAGCUUCCUCAAAGACACCACUGAUUAGCUGCACUGUUUGGAACAUAGUUUGCUCAUUUAUUAAUUUAACUUAAAGGUUUUCAACCUACUCAUAUGAACGAUACAUGUUGCCUGUUCAUAUGCUGCUGCUGCUAAGAUUAAUCUGAAAAGGAAAAGAUGUCACUAAGAUGAGCUGUUCCUUCAUCUCUUUGAAGUAAGCAAGCCUUUUUCAACUUGAGGUGGUUUAAGAGGUAACAACUCUCACGCUGAAGGGUGUUGUGCUCAAGGGGGCAAAAUGUUUGACGUAGUGAAGAAAGCAGCAGAGCUGCGAUGGAGGCUGCUGGGAGAAAAGCAGCAGGGUGCACAGACUGCACACCUGCACUAGAUGCGUUCAGCAGGACCUGCUCUGGAUUGAGAAUCUGUGGAAACAUCGGCGGUGAGAGGAUUGAUGCAGGAGUUGGUUUCAGCAGAAAUGGGUUUCGCAUUUCCUCCCUAAGGAUGAACUUUUACAACUCUUUGCGGUUUCCUCCUCUACGCUGGGCGCGACAUGGAUUGGCUUUGCUUUUAUUCCCAAUUGUUUGACAAAUCAAUGCUUUAUUUUGUCUUUGUUAAUUAAAAACACUAGCAUUUAAUUCACAAGGGACAGGUAUUGAUCUACUUUGUAGCAGGGCUGUGCAAUAUGCCUUGAAAAUAAAAUCUGAUAUGUUUCAA